Molecule: ribosomal RNA, 497 nt
Filed under: uncultured bacterium
Lineage: Bacteria
Description: partial 16S ribosomal RNA
Rfam family: Bacterial small subunit ribosomal RNA
Source: RNAcentral
GACGAACGCUGGCGGCGUGCCUAAUACAUGCAAGUUGAGCGCUGAAGGUUGGUACUUGUACCAACUGGAUGAGCAGCGAACGGGUGAGUAACGCGUGGGGAAUCUGCCUUUGAGCGGGGGACAACAUUUGGAAACGAAUGCUAAUACCGCAUAAAAACUUUAAACACAAGUUUUAAGUUUGAAAGAUGCAAUUGCAUCACUCAAAGAUGAUCCCGCGUUGUAUUAGCUAGUUGGUGAGGUAAAGGCUCACCAAGGCGAUGAUACAUAGCCGACCUGAGAGGGUGAUCGGCCACAGUGGGACUGAGACACGGCCCAAACUCCUACGGGAGGCAGCAGUAGGGAAUCUUCGGCAAUGGACGAAAGUCUGACCGAGCAACGCCGCGUGAGUGAAGAAGGUUUUCGGAUCGUAAAACUCGGUUGGUAGAGAAGAACGCUGGUGAGAGUGGAAAGCUCAUCAAGUGACGGUAACUACCCAGAAAGGGACGGCUAACUACGUG